Molecule: ribosomal RNA, 368 nt
Filed under: uncultured bacterium
Lineage: Bacteria
Description: bacterial SSU rRNA
Rfam family: Bacterial small subunit ribosomal RNA
Source: RNAcentral
CGCGUGAGCGACAUGCCCGUUGCCCGGGGACAACCGGUGGAAACGCCGACUAAUCCCCGAUGGGAUAUUGUGCCGCAUGGCACGAUAUUGAAAGUUACGGCGGCGACGGAUUGGCUCGCGUCCGAUUAGCUUGUUGGCGGGGUAACGGCCCACCAAGGCUACGAUCGGUAGGGGUUCUGAGAGGAAGGCCCCCCACAAUGGGACUGAGACACGGCCCAUACUCCUACGGGAGGCAGCAGUGAGGAAUAUUGGUCAAUGGGCGGAAGCCUGAACCAGCCAUGCCGCGUGCGGGAAGGAGGCCCUAUGGGCUGUGAACCGCUUUUGCCUGGGGGCAAUAAGGGCGUCGCGCACGCCCGAUGAGAGUACCA